CCUACGGGUGGCAGCAGUAGGGAAUCUUCCACAAUGGGCGAAAGCCUGAUGGAGCAACGCCGCGUGGGUGAAGAAGGUCUUCGGAUCGUAAAACCCUGUUGUUAGAGAAGAAAGUGCGUGAGAGUAACUGUUCACGUUUCGACGGUAUCUAACCAGAAAGCCACGGCUAACUACGUGCCAGCAGCCGCGGUAAUACGUAGGUGGCAAGCGUUAUCCGGAUUUAUUGGGCGUAAAGGGAACGCAGGCGGUCUUUUAAGUCUGAUGUGAAAGCCUUCGGCUUAACCGGAGUAGUGCAUUGGAAACUGGGAGACGUGAGUGCAGAAGAGGAGAGUGGAACUCCAUGUGUAGAGGUGAAAUGCGUAGAUAUAAGGAAGCAGACCAGUGGCGAAAGCGGCUCUCGGGUCUGUAACGGACGCUGAGGUUCGAAAGCGUGGGUAGCAAACAGGAUUAGAUACCCUGGGAGUC
This 465-nucleotide ribosomal RNA is filed under the name uncultured bacterium. Its description in RNAcentral is "partial 16S ribosomal RNA". It matches the Rfam family "Bacterial small subunit ribosomal RNA", at positions 338 to 795 of the family's 1533-position model. The record is from RNAcentral.